AUUAUAUAAGCCUUCAUAUCAUGCAAUCAAUUGUUUGGCUUAUAUAUCUUUAAUGAUUUAGCUUGCUUAAAAUUCAGAUUCUCCCCCUCGACAUAUGCAAUCUACUUUGUUUUGAUUCUAAGAAUUUUUGAGUUUUAAAUUUUUGGUUUUUAGAGGAAAAAUCUGUCAAUUUGUUCUUGAGUAGGAUUCAGCUAAUCUCCGAAUAUCCCUUGAAUAGAUUCUGAAGAUUACUCCAUUAGGAGCCCCAAAAGAGAGAUAAUGAGCCUCGAGGUACCAAAUCCACUUAGAACAAAUUUUUGUGUGUUUUAAAAGUUUUUCUUUUUUUUAUUGAUUUUCAUUG
Molecule: long non-coding RNA, 340 nt
Filed under: Phoenix dactylifera (date palm)
Lineage: Eukaryota; Viridiplantae; Streptophyta; Magnoliopsida; Arecales; Arecaceae
Description: long non-coding RNA (PDAC_LNC019328)
Source: RNAcentral